RNAcentral lists this ribosomal RNA (1459 nucleotides) under uncultured Bordetella sp. Its description in RNAcentral is "partial 16S-23S ribosomal RNA intergenic spacer". It matches the Rfam family "Bacterial small subunit ribosomal RNA". Lineage: Bacteria; Pseudomonadati; Pseudomonadota; Betaproteobacteria; Burkholderiales; Alcaligenaceae. The record is from RNAcentral.
GGUUUGAUCAUGGCUCAGAUUGAACGCUGGCGGGAUGCUUUACACAUGCAAGUCGAACGGCAGCACGGACUUCGGUCUGGUGGCGAGUGGCGAGCGGGUGAGUAAUGUAUCGGAACGUGCCUAGUAGCGGGGGAUAACUACGCGAAAGCGUAGCUAAUACCGCAUGUCAGCCCUUCGGGAAAGCGGGGACCUUCGGGCCUCGCACUAUUAGAAGCGGCCGAUAUCGGAUUAGCUAGUUGUGGGGUAACGGCUCACCAAGGCGACGAUCCGUAGCUGGUUUGAGAGGACGACCAGCCACACUGGGACUGAGACGGCCCAGACUCCUACGGGAGGCAGCAGUGGGGAAUUUUGACAAUGGGGAAAUCCGAUCCAGCCAUCCCGCGUGCGAUGAAGGCCUUCGGGUUGUAAAGCACUUUUGGCAGGAAAGAAACGGCACGGGAUAAUACCCGUGCAACUGACGGUACCUGCAGAAUAAGCACCGGCUAACUACGUGCCAGCAGCCGCGGUAAUACGUAGGGUGCAAGCGUUAAUCGGAAUUGCAUUGGGCGUAAAGCGUGCGCAGGCGGUUCGAAAAAGAGAUGUGAAAUCCCAGAGCUUAACUUUGGAACUGCAUUUUUAACUACCGAGCUAGAGUGUCAGGAGGGAGGUGGAAUUCGCGUAGCAGUAAAUGCGUAGAUAUGGAGGAACACCGAUGGCGAAGGCAGCCUCCUCGGGGAUAAUACUGACGCUCAUGCACGAAAGCGGGGAGCAAACAGGAUUAGAUACCCUGGUAGUCCACGCCCUAAACGAUGUCAACUAGUUGCUGGGGCUCUUCGGGCCUUGGUAGCGCAGCUAACGCGUGAAGUUGACCGCCUGGGGAUACGGUCGCAAGAUUAAAACUCAAAGGAAUUGACGGGGACCCGCACAAGCGGUGGAUGAUGUGGAUUACCCGAUGCAACGCGAAAACCUUACCUACCCUUUAUAUGUUCGGAAUCCCGAAGAGAUUUGGGAGUGCUCGCAAGAGAACCGGAACACAGGUGCUGCAUGGCUGUCGUCAGUUCGUGUCGUGAGAUGUUGUUAAGUCCCGCAACGAGCGCAACCCUCUUGUCAUUAGUUGCUACGAAAGGGCACUCUAAUGAGACUGCCGGUGACAAACCGGAGGAAGGUGGGGAUGACGUCAAGUCCUCAUAUUCUUGCGGGUAGGGCUUCACAUCGUCAUACAAUGGUCGGGACAGAGGUCGCCAACCCGCGAGGGGGAGCCAAUCCUGUGAAACCCGAUCGUAGUCCGGAUCGCAGUCUGCAACUCGACUGCGUGAAGUCGGAAUCGCUAGUAAUCGCGGGAUCGCGGUGAAUACGUUCCCGGGUCUUGACCGCCCGUCACACCAUGGGAGUGGGUUUUACCAGAAGUAGUUAGCCUAACCGUAAGGAGGGCGAUUACCACAGUAGGAUUCAUGACUGAGGUGAAGUCGUAACAAGGUAA